Molecule: ribosomal RNA, 253 nt
Filed under: uncultured bacterium
Lineage: Bacteria
Description: partial 16S ribosomal RNA
Rfam family: Bacterial small subunit ribosomal RNA
Source: RNAcentral
UACGGAGGGGGCGAGCGUUGUCCGAAGUUACUGGGCGUAAAGCGCGCGUAGGCGGGUUGGUAAGUCCGCUGUGAAAGCCCGGAGCUUAACUCCGGAGGGUCGGUGGAUACUGCCAGUCUUGAAGGUGCUAGGGGGAGAUGGAAUUACCGGUGUAGCGGUGAAAUGCGCAGAUAUCAGGAAGAACACCCGUGGCGAAAGCGGCUCUCUGGAACGGUACUGACGCUGAGACGCGAAAGCGUGGGGAGCGAACAGG